CCCACCUCGGCCUCCCAAAGUGCUGGGAUUACAGGCGUGAGCCACCGUGCCCGGCCUCACCUUCCUUUCUCUUAUCAGCCGCCUCCACUUGCUCUCCAAGAGCUCAAGAUGCUAACAUUUAUUUAUUAAUUUAAUUUCUUUAUUGAGACACGGUCUCGCUCUGUCAUCCAGGCUGGAGUGCAGUGGUGUGAUCAUAGCUCACUGCAGCCUUGACUUCCUGGGCUCAAGAGAUCCACCAUACCUCAGCCUCCCUAUCACAGCCUCCCGAAUAGCUGGGACUACACACGCAGCUAAUUUUUAAAAUUUUUUGUAAAAAGGUGGGUCUCACUAUGUUGCAUAAACUAGUCUAAAACUCCUGGGCUCAAGCAUUCCUGUCCCCUUAGCCUCCCAAAGUGCUGGGAUUACAGGCAUAAGCCACCAAGCCCGGCCAUCUAACUGCUAGAUCUCUCUGGCCUCUUUGCCUCCCUUCCAGUCCCACUGCUGUGGCGUAAGGCAAACCCUCCUUUCGCACCUGGAUUAUCACAGCUGUUUCUAAGCUAGGCCUUCCAAUCUAUGCGCCAAACUGCAAACAAAGCAAUCUUGCUAAUUGCUUACAAUCCUUCCAUUUCUGCAUACGAGCUUCAGGACAAAGCCCAAACUCCUUAACAUGACUCAAGGCCCACUGUGACCUGCUCCUGCCAAUUCACCUUGAGAGCACACUUUGGUGGUGAGGUGCCAAGAAUAUGUCAUGCAUGUCCCCUGCUUUCUCUGCCUUGAACACUUUCCCCAUUUGUCUGCUAACCAUGCUUCCAGAUUCUACUCAAGCCUCACCUCUGCCAGGAAGCCUCAGCUGACCUCCCCAGGUUAUGGGACUAACCCCUCUUUCAGGUUCCCACAGUACCCAAUGCUCCCACAGUACCCAGUGCUCCCACAGCAGAGAGCACAUUAUGCUGUGCUGAAAUAAUCUAUGGCCCCUACGUAGACUUGUGCCUGGUACAUAGGAGGUGCUCAAUAAACAUUUGUUCAAGGAAGAAACACAGGAAUGAAUGAUUCUGUAGGAAGGCAGUGGGAAAUGCACUAUGCUGGGAGGCAGAGACUAGGCUCUCAUCAACUUUGCCAUUGGCUCCCCCAGGGAACUGGGGUCAGCCACUUGACCUCUGGGCCUGCCCAGUUUCCCUUUCCUUUGAUCCACUAACUCCUCAUCUGUAGGGUCUUGGGGGAUGUCUUUUGCCCUACACACACACACACACACACACACACACACACACACACACACUCACUCAUGUUGGGCCUCAGCACUCAGGUAGCGGACUCAGGAAUUUUAGUCCUCCACGGCGACCAGCACAAAAAACAAGAACCAGGGUGGGCACAGUGGUUCAUGCCUGUAAUCCCAGCACUUUGGGAGGCCAAGGUGGGUGGAUCACCUGAGAUCAGGAGCCUGGCCAACAUGGUGAAACCCUGUCUCAACUAAAAAUACAAAAAUUGGCCAGGCGUGGUGGCAGGUGCCUGUAGUCCCAGCUACUCGGGAGGCUGAGGCAGGAGAAUCACUUGAACCUGGGAGGCGGAGGUUGCAGUGAACCGAGAUCGCGCCACUGCACUCUUCAGCCUGGGCGACAAGAGCAAAACUCCAUCUCAAAAAAAAAAAAAGAAAAAGAACCAGGAGGGAGGGGAAAUAGUUUGAGGGUACUGUGUGAGGCAGGACACAGGUGGUUGCAGUAACUGUCAGAAGUCCACAUCCUGCCAGCUGGGGAUGGGAGGAAUGGGUACACUCACCUGCUGACUUUCAGUCUGGGACUGGCAGAAUCCCUGAUUUUCUCUGACCUGCCCCCACAAGUAGUCUGCCUCCCUGUCCCCAAAGCUGGUUAGCAGGAACGAGGGGGGCAUUAGUGGAGCCAGAAGCUCAGCCCCUCCCUCUCCUGAGGUGUUGGGGCACAGUGAUGCCACAAGAGCAGAAAAACAGUCAUGUGUAUUUAAGACAUUGCACCAGUGGGUCUGGAUCUCACCCACUGAGCAACAUUGA
Molecule: long non-coding RNA, 1999 nt
Filed under: Homo sapiens (human)
Lineage: Eukaryota; Metazoa; Chordata; Mammalia; Primates; Hominidae
Description: HSALNT0240282
Source: RNAcentral